Molecule: long non-coding RNA, 769 nt
Organism: Lacerta agilis (Sand lizard)
Lineage: Eukaryota; Metazoa; Chordata; Lepidosauria; Squamata; Lacertidae
Exons: 4
Source: RefSeq, a predicted model, not a curated record
GGUGCAGGGUGAUUUUUCUCUCCGUUUAUGCAAAAGAGACUCUUCGUCUUUUACAACUCUGAUGGACUUGUAUAUAAAUAGCUGUGUGUGCAGCAGAAUUCAACCCAGAAGCCUUAAGCAAAGUCAGCAGUGGUAGGACUUUUCGAGCCCAAGUUAGAAACCACAUGGAGCUUAAUCAUUAAUCACCAGUCUUUAAUUAACAGCUCUGAGCUUUGAACAAAAGGCACUUACCGCAAGGCUGCUGAGGAGCCCUGAAACUCUUUGGUGUGUUUUCAUUUGGAGCACCCAGUGGUCUUCAGAAGAGAAGCUGAUAGAGCAGCAACCCUUUGUGUCAAGGGUCAAGAUAAUAAGGAAGAGCAGAUGUUUGUGGCCUUUUCUAGCCUGGCAGCAGUUUCAAGCUGACUCAACAUGUACAAGCUGCCAGGUCUCCAAAGCAAGAAACCUACUUCAGCAGUGACUCGUUGAGAACAGGAAUCCAGGCGAUGUUUGCUGUUACCAGCUUUGCACAGAUGGACUAUUGAGACGGAAUGAUCAUGGCUUGCCAAAUUCAUGGUAGAGGCAAGAUCAAAACCUGUGACAUUUGGGUCCACAGCAUGCUCCUAACCAUGUCUACUCAGAGAGAAGCAAGAUCCAGUUGGUAAACUCUGCAGCUCGAGGACAACUUUUCUUGCCAAGCAUGCAUUACCAAAGACUAAUUGUUAGCAUGGUGCACCUGCCUGCUCCCCUGGUGGAAAAGAAGCACAGAGCAUCUGAGGUGAAGAAGACACCC